GACCUAUAAAAACAACCCAGAGAUCUCAUCAGUCACACGCAAAUCAAAUGAGGAUUAUCUAUAACAAACCUUAAAUGCGCAUACACUUUGAAAGGAAGUUUAGGAAUCGAAGUGAGAGUGACUUUGAAGGAGAAGAAACCAACAAGACUCUUUGUUUUUCGUCGGAGAAGAAGAGGCGGAGGCUUAAAGGGUUUGUUUUUUUCUUUCUGAUUUUUCUUUUUAUGUAUUAUAUUAAUUAUUG
Molecule: long non-coding RNA, 241 nt
Filed under: Capsella rubella
Lineage: Eukaryota; Viridiplantae; Streptophyta; Magnoliopsida; Brassicales; Brassicaceae
Description: long non-coding RNA (CRUB_LNC003633)
Source: RNAcentral